RNAcentral lists this ribosomal RNA (173 nucleotides) under uncultured bacterium. Its description in RNAcentral is "partial 16S ribosomal RNA". It matches the Rfam family "Bacterial small subunit ribosomal RNA", at positions 1327 to 1500 of the family's 1533-position model. The record is from RNAcentral.
CGGAAUUGCUAGUAAUCGCGGAUCAGCAUGCCGCGGUGAAUACGUUCCCGGGCCUUGUACACACCGCCCGUCACACCAUGGGAGCCGGUAAUACCCGAAGUCAGUAGUCCAACCUCGUGAGGACGCUGCCGAAGGUAGGAUUGGCGACUGGGGUGAAGUCGUAACAAGGUAGC